UACGGGAGGCAGCAGUGGGGAAUAUUGCACAAUGGGCGCAAGCCUGAUGCAGCCAUGCCGCGUGUAUGAAGAAGGCCUUCGAGUUGUAAAGUACUUUCAGUCGUGAGGAAGGUGUUAAGGUUAAUAACCUUAGCAAUUGACGUUAGCGACAGAAGAAGCACCGGCUAACUCCGUGCCAGCAGCCGCGGUAAUACGGAGGGUGCGAGCGUUAAUCGGAAUUACUGGGCGUAAAAGGGCACGCAGGCGGUUAAUUAAGUUGGAUGUGAAAUCCCCGGGCUUAACCUGGGAAUGGCAUUCAAGACUGGUUAGCUAGAGUCUUGUAGAGGGGGGUAGGAAUUCCAUGUGUAGCGGUGAAAUGCGUAGAGAUGUGGAGGAAGUACCGGUGGCGAAGGCGGCCCCCUGGGACAAAAGACUGACGCUCAUGUGCGAAAGCGUGGGGAGCAAACAGGAUUAGAUACC
This 459-nucleotide ribosomal RNA is filed under the name uncultured bacterium. Its description in RNAcentral is "bacterial SSU rRNA". It matches the Rfam family "Bacterial small subunit ribosomal RNA", at positions 340 to 786 of the family's 1533-position model. The record is from RNAcentral.